AAUCAACGCUGGCGGCGUGCCUAACACAUGCAAGUCGAACGCGAAAUGGGCUUCGGCCCAAAUCGAGUGGCGAACGGGUGAGUAACACGUGGGUGAUCUACCUUCGAGCGGGGGAUAACGUUCCGAAAGGAACGCUAAUACCGCAUGACGUCCUGGGUUUGAAGACCUGGAGACCAAAGCUAGGGACCGCAAGGCCUGGCACUUGAAGAGGAGCCCGCGUCCGAUUAGCUAGUUGGCGGGGUAACGGCCC
This 250-nucleotide ribosomal RNA is filed under the name uncultured bacterium. RNAcentral describes it as "partial 16S ribosomal RNA". It matches the Rfam family "Bacterial small subunit ribosomal RNA", at positions 32 to 266 of the family's 1533-position model. The record is from RNAcentral.